This 451-nucleotide ribosomal RNA is filed under the name uncultured Sphingobacteriales bacterium. Its description in RNAcentral is "bacterial SSU rRNA". It matches the Rfam family "Bacterial small subunit ribosomal RNA", at positions 933 to 1382 of the family's 1533-position model. Lineage: Bacteria; Pseudomonadati; Bacteroidota; Sphingobacteriia; Sphingobacteriales. The record is from RNAcentral.
AGGAGCAUGUGGUUUAAUUCGAUGAUACGCGAGGAACCUUACCUGGGCUCGAACGUAAGAUGACUGUAGGUGAAAGCUUACAUCUCUUCGGAGCAUUUUACGAGGUGCUGCAUGGUUGUCGUCAGCUCGUGCCGUGAGGUGUCGGGUUAAGUCCCAUAACGAGCGCAACCCCUACCUUUAGUUGCCAUCAGGUAAUGCUGGGGACUCUAAAGGAACUGCCUACGCAAGUAGUGAGGAAGGCGGGGAUGACGUCAAAUCAGCACGGCCCUUACGUCCAGGGCUACACACGUGCUACAAUGGCCGAUACAGAGGGCAGCUACCUGGUGACAGGAUGACAAAUCUACCAAAGUCGGUCUCAGUUCGGAUCGGAGUCUGCAACCCGACUCCGUGAAGUUGGAUUCGCUAGUAAUCGCGCAUCAGCCAUGGCGCGGUGAAUACGUUCCCGGGCCUU